This is a long non-coding RNA of Oncorhynchus keta (chum salmon), 3188 nucleotides long. RefSeq lists it as uncharacterized. The record is from RefSeq and is a predicted model, not a curated record. NCBI's taxonomy places the organism in Eukaryota, Metazoa, Chordata, Actinopteri, Salmoniformes, Salmonidae. The transcript is spliced from 4 exons.
GGCAAAAACACAGAGCAUCAAUCCCCUCAUUUCAGAAAUAAAUCCUUCAAACUAUCCAGAGAAGGGCCAGUUGAGACCACAAAAUGAGGAGUGUCCCUGAGGAAGGCAAUGAGCUCCAUUGUGACUGUAGGAGCAGGCACCCCUAAAGCUAGAAUAGGAUUAAGACGCAUUAUACCUGUCUAUUCUCACAGACCAAUCACUGUUGUUGUCAGAGGCAGCACUGCGCAGUGGGCCAGCCAUCCGGAGCAGAGCGGUAAAGACCUAGGCUCUCUAUAAGCCGUCUAAAUAUACACUGCUCAAAAAAAUAAAGGGAAAACUAAAAUAACACAUCCUAGAUCUGAAUGAAUGAUAUAUUAUUAUUAAAUAAUUUUUUCUUUACAUAGUUGAAUGUGAUGACAACAAAAUUACACAAAACUUAUCAAUGGAAAUCAAAUUUAUCAACCCAUGGAGGUCUGAAAAUGAAAGUGGAAAACCACACUACAGGCUGAUCCAACUUUGAUGUAAUGUCAUUAAAACAAGUCAAAAUGAGGCUCAGUAGUGUGUGUGGCCUCCACGUGCCUGUAUGACCUCCCUACAAUGCCUGGGCAUGCUCCUGAUGAGGUGGCGGAUGGUCUCCUGAGGGAUCUCCUCCCAGACCUGGACUAAAGCAUCCGCCAACUCCUGGACAGUCUGUGGUGCAACGUGGCGUUGGUGGAUGGAGAGAGACAUGAUGUCCCAGAUGUGCUCAAUUGGAUGCAGGUCUGGGGAACGGGUGGGCCAGUCCAUAGCAUCAAUGCCUUCCUCUUGCAGGAACUGCUGACACACUCCAGCCACAUGAGGUCUAGCAUUGUCUUGCAUUAGGAGGAACCCAGGGCCAACCGCACCAGCAUAUGGUCUCACAAGGGGUCUGAGGAUCUCAUCUCAGUACCUAAUGGCAGUCAGGCUACCUCUGGCGAGCACAUGGAGGGCUGUGCGGCCCCCCAAAGAAAUGCCACCCCACACCAUGACUGACCCACCGCCAAACCGGUCAUGCUGGAGGAUGUUGCAGGCAGCAGAACGUUCUCCACGGCGUCUCCAGACUGUCAUGUCUGUCACAUGUGCUCAGUGUGAACCUGCUUUCAUCUGUGAGGAGCACAGGGCACCAGUGGCGAAUUUGCCAAUCUUGGUGUUCUCUGGCAAAUGCCAAACGUCCUGCACGGUGUUGGGCUGUAAGCACAACGCCCACCUGUGGACGUCGGGCCCUCAUACUACCCUCAUGGAGUCUGUUUCUGACCGUUUGAGCAGACACAUGCACAUUUGUGGCCUGCUGGAGGUAAUUUUGCAGGGCUCUGGCAGUGCUCCUCCUGCUCCUCCUUGCACAAAGGCGGAGGUAGCGGUGCUGCUGCUGGGUUGUUGCCCUCCUACGGCCUCCUGAUGUACUGGCCGGUCUCCUGGUAGCGCCUCCAUGCUCUGGACACUACGCUGACAGACACAGCAAACCUUCUUGCCACAGCUCGCAUUGAUGUGCCAUCCUGGAUGAGCUGCACUACCUGAGCCACUUGUGUGGGUUGUAGUAGACUCCGUCUCAUGCUACCACUAGAGUGAAAGCACUGCCAGCAUUCAAAAGUGACCAAAACAUCAGCCAGGAAGCAUAGGAACUGAGAAGUGGUCUGUGUUCACCACCUGUAGAACCACUCCUUUAUUGGGGAUGUCUUGCUAAUUGCCUAUAAUUUACACCUGUUGUCUAUUCCAUUUGCACAACCGCAUGUGAAAUGUAUUGUCAAUCAGUGUUGCUUCCUAAGUGGACAGUUUGAUUUCACCGAAGUGUGAUUGACUUGGAGUUACAUUGUGUUGUUUAAGUGUUCCCUUUAUUUUUUUGAGCAGUGUAUAUAUGGCUCUGAUCCGGAGCAUGUUAUUGCAGUAGUGGAAAAAGUACCCAAUUAUCAUACUUGAGUAAAAGUAAACAUACCUUAAUACAAAAUGACGUGAGUAAAAGUAAAUGUAAUUGCUCAAAUAUACUUAAAUAUCAAAAGUGAAAGUAUAAAUAAUUUCAUAUUCCUUAAAAUAAGCAAACCAGAUGGCAAAAUGUUUUUUUUUUUUAUAGUCAGGUCACACUGCUAAAUAGUAAAUUAAAGUACAGAUACCCCCCAAAAUGACUUCAUUAGUACUUUAAAGUAUUUUUUUACUUAAGUAAUUUACACAACUGUGUUAUUGUAAAGCUAAGACAUUUAGUUAACCAAUCGGCUCAGACUAAGAUCUGUCUGUAACUAGUCUGGGCUACUUUGACUAGUUACUAUUCACUUGCUCAUGAAAAUAUCUGCACUUCCCCCAUAUUAAACUAACACCGUAGCAUCAUCAGAGAGAAAGUUUUUUGAGAGAGAGCUGUUGGAUUCUUAGAAAUGCUCCUUAUGUGGGAUCUAAAUACUUAUUUGAUUUAACCCUUAUUUUGACAGGGAGUCAUGCUGAGACCAGGGUUUAUUUUACAGAUGAGCCGUGUAAUUUAAAAAAUACACUGAAAAGCAAAAAAAUAUUAAAGUUACAAAGGAAAGACCAGGUGGAGAGGAUUAGGUUCUCUGACAGGGCCGCUGGAAAAAGACUGUUACACUUCAUUAUUUCAUGAACAUGUUUAAACACCUCAAAGGGAAUAAUGAGAUGUCCUAAAUCAACAAUGACGGUUAGAUGACUAAUGGACAUCUGUACUUGACUGAAUGGUCUACCACAUGAAAGGGGGCACUAUUAAAAUCCUACUUUAUGUGAAGGUGUUGUUGCUGUGGGUCCCAUGUGUUGUUGCUGUGGGUCCCAGGUGUUGUUGCUGUGGGUCCCAGGUGUUGUUACUGUGGGUCCCAGGUGUUGUUACUGUGGGUCCCAGGUGUUGUUACUGUGGGUCCCAGAUGUUGUUGCUGUGGGUCCCAGGUAGGUUGUUGCUGUGGGUCCCAGGUGUUGUUGCUGUGGGUCCCAGGUGUUGUUGCUGUGGGUCCCAGGUGUUGUUGCUGUGGGUCCCAGAUGUCCCAGAUGUUGUUGCUGUGGGUCCAAGGUGUCCCAGGUGUUGUUGCUAUGAGUCCCAGGUGUUGUUGUUGUUGUGGGUCCCAGAUGUUGUUGCUGUGGGUCACAGGUGUUGUUGCUAUGAGUCCCAGGUGUUGUUGUUGUUGUGGGUCCCAGAUGUUGUUGCUGUGGGUCACAGGUGUCCCAAGUGUUAUUGCGGUGCCAAGUUGAAACACUAACUUGAGAUC